RNAcentral lists this ribosomal RNA (497 nucleotides) under uncultured bacterium. RNAcentral's name for it is "partial 16S ribosomal RNA". It matches the Rfam family "Bacterial small subunit ribosomal RNA", at positions 28 to 507 of the family's 1533-position model. The record is from RNAcentral.
GAUGAACGCUGGCGGCGUGCCUAACACAUGCAAGUCGAACGGCGAAGCGCGUGCCUUUUUGGUGUGUGUGGAGGCGUGGCGAACGGGUGAAUAACACGAGAGUAACCUUCGCCCUUCUUCUGGAUAACCGCAUGAAAUUGUUGCUACUUCGGGAUAUUCUGUGUCUGUCGCAUGAUGUGUCGCGGAAAGCUAUUGUGUCGGUGGGUGAUGGGUUCGCGGCGUACUAGCUUGUUGGUGGGGUGAUGGCCUACCAAGGCGGUGAUGGGUAGCCGGCCUGAGCGGAUGAUGGGCCACACUGGUAGUGAGACACGGCCGAGAAUACUACGGGAGGAAGCAGUAGGGAAGAAUAGUCAAUGAGGGAAGGACGGAUGAAGCAACGACGCGGGGGUGAGGAAGGAGUUCGUCUGGUAAAGAACUUCUUUCGGGAGAGAAGCCGGUCUGCCUAGUUUGUGCGUGGGUUGACGGUACCUGAAUAAGAAGCGCCGGCUAACUACGUG